AGUAAAUAGCUAAAUUUUUAAGUUUAUUAUUUACAUUGAUAGGAUGUUUUAAUAACUUUACUUAU
RNAcentral lists this transfer RNA (65 nucleotides) under Blastopsylla occidentalis. RNAcentral describes it as "tRNA-Val". The record is from RNAcentral. Lineage: Eukaryota; Metazoa; Arthropoda; Insecta; Hemiptera; Aphalaridae.